Molecule: long non-coding RNA, 4552 nt
Organism: Cyprinus carpio carpio
Lineage: Eukaryota; Metazoa; Chordata; Actinopteri; Cypriniformes; Cyprinidae
Source: Ensembl
UUAUUUAUUUUUACGCUGGAGUACCUUAAAAUGCCACUGGGCCGAGGUAGCGUCCGUGACAUGCCAACACGACAGCAUUUCCUCUGGUGUACAGUGCUGUCUAUGCCUGCGCCCGCUGUGACGCUGGCUGUAUUCGCAUUAGUGUUGGCACAGUACUUGGUAAAAGCGGAAGGGCCACAGUCGGGGCUCUCAGCACAGCACCUGCUUCUAAAACUGCAGACACACUAAAAUUAGCAUCAACCACCUGCCACAAAAGCCAGUUUCAUCCAGUUAAACAGAAGAGCACAUCAGAAGAGUGAUUUACAUGACAGACAAACCGGCAAAAUAAUAAGACUGACCCUUGUUCAGGACCCUCCCCCUCUUUGCACGGCCCGGUCUUUGCUAAAGUCAUGUGACAGCUUGUGCAGAGGUCCCACAGCACCCGCUCACUCUCCUGCAGUGAACACCAGUCUGCAUGUCCAGAGCCAGAACUGCGUAUCAGAGCCUGGUGGAAGCAGGGCAUGCAAUAGAGAAGAUGCGAUAUCUUUUGUAGGAACACUGCAAAUUAAAAUCACUUCGAAAAUAGCAAACUGCAUUUUAGGAAGAAAAUGUAUACUGUAUGUACUGAACUGCUUGCACUACUUGUCUCAGACAGUAGUGCAGUAGUGUGCAAAGGUGGCAUGAGUUCAGCAGUGCGGUAAAUGCCAUCUGGACCCUGCUCGACUAUGCUCUAGCAUUCACUGCCCACUCAUGGGCUACAACCCCAGUGUCACGUCUAGCAUCACAACAUUUUCCAUAUUUCUGCAUUUAGAGGUUCAAAAGUAUCUUGACCUAAAUUCAUCAUAACGUAAUAAUAAUAAUAACGGCUGUUUUAAGUUACAGUAGGGUAUGUUGUGAUAGCUAUAGCAUUAAUCACUGCAUAAAUCAGAUCUUUUUAUCACUGAAUGUUUUAAAAUUAUUUUUACAAUGCAUACAGGAUCCAGUAAUCAUGGAUUUCCAGACCCAAAAGUUUACAAUCCCCUUUUUUUCCUAUGAAAAUCUCUGCUGUUUACAUAAAACAAACACAUCACAGGUUACACAGAAGUUCAUGCACCUAGAAUAGUCUCAACUAAAGGAUUUACAUGCCUUUGUAGAUCAAAAUAACAAGCAUUGUGUGUGUGUGUGUGUGUUACUGCUAACAUAUUUUUCAUUCAUUUAUAUCAAGCUUAUUCUUCAAGUAUGUGACUCACCUGUAUGAUGUUCAGGUAUUUGUGGAUGCGGGAAACAGGAGCAAAUAGUAAUGAAAGCAGUCUGAAGCUCUCUUUCUCCUCCUAGCAUAAAAACAUAAACACAUGAAACCAAUAUUAUGCAAAAGUAAAAAUCAAUAUACUUGCACUUAGAUAUAACUGGGCCUGGUUGCUGUAGAUUCAUUUGAUAGUCCUUUCACUACUGCUGAGCUAAACACAAAACAGGCAUCACUGUGUGCUUAAGCAUUUUUCAUAAUAUUUUGCCUGUGCAUUUUGUGGGUCGCUGUGGGGUGAAGUUGUACUGAUCUCUGUUCUCAGGACAGUUCCCAGACUGGCCACGUAUCCAAGAUAUGCAUCAGAGAAAGACUUCUGCAGAAGGACAAACAAUGAAAUUAUAAAAACAGUAAUAUUGUAAAAUAUUAUUAUAAUUUAAAAUAAGCAUUUUCUAUCCUAAUACAUUUCUGUGAUGCAAAGCUAAAUUUUGAGCAUCACAACUCCAGUCUUUCUGAAGUGUCAUUUCAGAAAUCAUUCUAAUGUGUUGAUUUGCUGCUGAAGAAACAUUCAUUAUUAUCAAUGUUGAAACCACUUGUACUGCUUCGCAUUUUGUGGAAAAUGUGAUAUUAAUGUAGGAUUGUUUGAUGAAUAGAAAGUUCAAAAACAUCAUUCUAGAUUAGUUUUUUUGUAACAAUGUAAAAGUCUUUACUGUCACUUUUGAUCAAUUUAAAACUGGACUACAUAUGAUUAUUUUAGUAGUCAAUGGCAUUACAUUGUUCUGUCCAAUGAGGUUGAGGAAAGCAUCCCCAGCAGCACAGCUUCUCUCAUCGGUGGUCAGUCGUUCUUCUAGGGUGUUACGGAACAGCAGGUGGCGCUGUAGCAUCUGAUCAAUGUGCUUUACAAACGCCACACUGUCUCACAAACACACAAAUACACUUGUUAUAGUGCCUGGUACAGUCAGAAAUAAAGAGAUUACAUGAAACACACAGAUAAUGAUUAUAGUUCUCUACUUUUGCUCAGCAGAUUUGUAUUUCUCGUAGAGCUGAUUCAAACUAGACACAUAAUCGCGUUCAGACUGCAACAGCAUCUCCACCACACCCCGCCUCCUGCCUGACAGAGAAACAGAGACAUGAGGAUCCACGUGUGAAUGCUGAGCAGUUCAAAGGCUUGGGGAACAGAUUAUUUACCCCGCCGUAGGCAGCUGUGUGUUACAUGACAGGAUAGAGAAUCUGCACCUGAAACAGUAAACAAAACUCACUGUAAUGUGAUUAGACUGUUUAAGCAUUUUUUAAUAUCAUUUGCAUCGCCUUAAUUAGUUUUUGCCACAUGUUAUAUUACUUAACAUUUUAUUUCAAUAUAUUAAAGCUACACCAUGUAACUUUUGGCCUUCUAUAGCGUCUGUAGCCUAAAAAUACAAGUAACUUUCGGAGAAACACUGUUUUAGUAAUUCUGCAUGUUGUGCUUGGGCACUGCUGUUUUGUGAGGAUGAAUCUGAUGGCUUGAGGUACAAAAGUUUGGCAAUUUUUGGAGAUUACUAAGUAGGGUGACCAUAAGUCCUGGCUGAGAUUUCUAAAUAGCCUAAAAUGUCUGGGUUUUUGCUUUAUUUUGCUAUUGACAUGCUAUCUGCAUUCUCCAAUAUAUGUAUAUGCAUAUUUGCAUUGCUUUAACCGCUUUCUGUAGGGCUGAUUAUGUACAAUGCCUACACAAUAUUGGUCAGAAUACUUUUCAGUCAUUAUCUUCAGCAAAUAUGAAAACAAUAGCAAAAACAUGGAAACACGCACAGACAAAUGAUGAAAGUAUGCAUUUAACCAGGAAAUUAAUUCCAACCACUCUAAAAUAUAAACAGUUAUUAUAGUCUUACCAUAGUGAUUUAAGGACAAAACUUUGAGUAGAAAAGGUUACAUAGUGUUGCUUUAACAAAUAUUUAAAAAUAUGUAUUUUAGGGUAUGUUUACAAAACAAUGAUUGUACUAAAAACAGAAAAGUUUUUCCUUUGCAUUUUUGAAAAGUUACACAUACAGAUGACAACAUUGUCAAAACGAUCCCCGUUUUCACAGAUCAGUGAAAACGACUAAAAAUGCUGUAUUAGGCACGCCAGGCCAGUAGUUGGCAAUGUCCCCUUUUAAAGAAACACUAUGCGCUAUGCACAAACAUAUACAUUCCAGUAGACUGAACAUGUAAUAUGCAUGCACAUGACUUCAUCCUUGUGUUUUUGUAGUCUGUAUUAUAUAAAAACUUUCACUUUGAAACCCUUACCCUUUUAAAAACCCUUUUUUCUUUUUACACCCCAAAAAAGAAAAGCUCACCUGAAUUCUGUCUGGCCCACUGCCACACCUGUAAUCCCUGCAGGUAACAGUGUAUGAGGAAAUCUCCACCCACAGAUGAAAGGGGAGGAGCCUCUGCAGCACCAUUACUCUGUCCGCUACUGUCGUCCACUCCAUUACUGCAUUCACACAUACACACAUCAACACUAUAGCGCAGUUUCAGUCAAACUUUAAAUGUAAAUGUGUGCAUGUCAGUGUGCGUGUGUGUGUGUGUUUACUUCUCUCUUCCUGGAUUCUCUGGUGGCGUUCUCUCUUGUGCCUCACAGAGUUGACGAAACUGACAACGUACCUCCUCCAGCUCCUCCUAAAGAGACAUACAUCAAAACAUACCUAUGACAAACAUCCUCGUUUGCUUUACUCGUUUCCUUUCCUCAUGUCUUAGCUCCACCCCCUUAGGAUGAGAGAGAAGGAUACAAGGAAAGAAAAUAUGGAAGGAGGUAUCAACGGAGAGCUUAUUUGUACAUUAUUAUAUUCUUGAUUACUCAAGUGUCACUUCAAAGCAUCAUCAAAUGCGCUCAGAUGUAAAGGGGAGGAGAAUUUAUACAUGCAUCCGGUUUUUCGACAAGAAAGACUUCCACAAAGGAUACACCUGUGUAUCCUCGCUUACAGCUCCUCGUUCCUCACCUCCUCGUGGUGCAAUUUGAGAUUUGAGAUUGCUUUCAAGAUGGCUAACUUUGAUUACUUGGGCUUGAGGAUGGAGGAGUAAGGAAACGAGGAAGCAUCAUUUUGAGGGAUUUAAAAGGAACCAAAGAAGAGAUUUACAAGACCUCACCUUGAGGGACAGCACCAGACUCUCCAGGUGAAGGGAGCGCUUGUUGCAGCCGUGUCUUGUGUCCUCCAGCUGGCUCUGCAGCUCAGUGUCUCCCUGCUGAAUCUGAUUCAGCUCCAGCAGCGCUCGAGAAAACCCUGCCCGCAACUCACACACCAUGCCCUGAACCUGAACACAUCCACAAGACCAUCAGCUGCUGAAGAAAGUCAGUGUGUGUUUGUUACCUUAGAGAUCUCUCUCUCCAGUUCUCCCUCAUGAGAU